Molecule: ribosomal RNA, 428 nt
Filed under: uncultured archaeon
Lineage: Archaea
Description: bacterial SSU rRNA
Rfam family: Archaeal small subunit ribosomal RNA
Source: RNAcentral
UACCAGCUCUCCGAGUGGUGUGGAUGUUUAUUGGGCCUAAAGCAUCCGUAGCUGGCUGGACAAGUCCCCCGUUAAAUCCACCGAUUUAAUCGUUGGUGUGCGGGGGAUACUGUUCGGCUAGGGGACGGGAGAGGCAGACGGUAUUUUCGGGGUAGGGGUGGAACCCUAUAAUCCCGGGAAGACCACCAGUGGCGAAGGCUGUCUGCUAGAACGCGCCCGACGGUGAGGGAUGAAAGCUGGGGGAGCGAACCGGAUUAGAUACCCGGGUAGUCCCAGCUGUAAACGAUGCAGGCUAGGUGUUUGGACGGCCACGUGCCGUUCUAGUGCCGCAGGGAAGCCGUUAAGCCUGCCGCCUGGGGAGUACGGCCGCAAGGCUGAAACUUAAGGAAUUGGCGGGGAGCACCACAAGGGGUGAAGCUUGCGGUUUA